This 305-nucleotide ribosomal RNA is filed under the name uncultured bacterium. RNAcentral's name for it is "bacterial SSU rRNA". It matches the Rfam family "Bacterial small subunit ribosomal RNA", at positions 338 to 658 of the family's 1533-position model. The record is from RNAcentral.
CCUACGGGAGGCAGCAGUGGGGAAUAUUGGGCAAUGGGCGCAAGCCUGACCCAGCAACGCCGCGUGAAGGAAGAAGGCUUUCGGGUUGUAAACUUCUUUUGACAGGGAAGAGUAGAAGACGGUACCUGUCGAAUAAGCCACGGCUAACUACGUGCCAGCAGCCGCGGUAAUACGUAGGUGGCAAGCGUUGUCCGGAUUUACUGGGUGUAAAGGGAGCGUAGGCGGCAAUACAAGUCGGAAGUGAAAUACCCGGGCUCAACCUGGGAACUGCUUUGGAAACUGUAUGGCUGGAGUGCUGGAGAGGU